Cuculus canorus (common cuckoo) is the source of this 9962-nucleotide RNA transcript. It is a transcript of the gene named LRR binding FLII interacting protein 1, with no coding region annotated. The transcript is spliced from 24 exons. Lineage: Eukaryota; Metazoa; Chordata; Aves; Cuculiformes; Cuculidae. The record is from RefSeq and is a predicted model, not a curated record.
GCGCCGUGCGGCCCCGGGGCGGCUGGCGGAGCCGGCGGGGCUGGAGGGGCGGCGGGGCCGGGCGGGAGCGGGGACAGCCAUGGGGACGCAGGGGGCCGGGAGGAAGCGGCUGCCGAACCGCGAGCGCCUGACGGCCGAGGACGAUGCGCUCAACCAGAUCGCCCGCGAGGCUGAAGCAAGACUGGCAGCAAAGCGAGCGGCACGGGCAGAGGCACGGGAGAUCCGCAUGAAGGAGCUGGAGCGGCAGCAGAAAGAGAUCUACCAGGUUCAGAAGAAAUAUUAUGGUCUGGAUACUAAGUGGGGAGACAUCGAGCAAUGGAUGGAAGACAGUGAGCGUUAUUCCCGUAGAGCCCGAAGAAACGCCUCGGCUUCGGAUGAAGACGAGCGCAUGUCAGUGGGUAGCCGUGGAAGCCUGAGGUCCCAUUUGGAAUAUGCCAGCACCUACCCAGUGGCUGGAUUAGAGAAUGAGAGGACCAAAAAGAAGAGCUACUCCAAAGCAAGCAAUGGUUAUGAGGAAGACGCAUAUGGAUCAUCCCAGAGUAGGAAAUCUAGCAGGGCUUCCUACUACUCUGACCUGGGCCUUCACAACAGCGGCUACGCUUCCACAUCUCAGCCUUCUUCUUCCCAGAACGGAAACUGGCCUUCCUUGCUGUACAGCGAUGCCCUGCCAGCCAGAAGCCACAGGGCGUCUGUGUAUGACGAGAGCGUUUACAGCGGGAGCCGUCGGUAUAGUGCCUCUAGUUCUCGUGCUCCUUCCGAGUACAGCUGCUACCUCGGUUCAGGAUCUCGGGCAUCCUCAAGAGCCAGCUCUGCUCGGGCCAGUCCAGUGAUCGAGGAAAGGCCAGAGAAAGACUUUGAGAAGGGAGCACGCACUGUCUCAAGUUUAUCAGCUGCUACCUUAGCUUCUCUGGGUGGGACUUCUUCACGAAGAGGCAGCGAGGAUACAUCCAUCUCUGCUGACACAGAGGCAUCUAUUAGAGAAAUAAAGGAUAUCUAUGAGUUAAAGGACCAGAUUCAGGAUGUAGAAGGCAGAUACAUGCAGGGACUGAAAGAAAUGAAGGACUCUCUGGCCGAAGUUGAAGAGAAAUAUAAAAAGGCUAUGGUGUCAAAUGCUCAACUAGACAAUGAAAAAACAAAUUUCAUGUACCAAGUAGAUACCCUGAAGGAUGCACUCUUAGAGUUAGAAGAGCAGCUGGCAGAAUCCAGGCGGCAAUAUGAAGAAAAAAGUAAAGAAUUUGAGAGGGAGAAGCAUGCUCAUAGCAUAUUGCAGUUUCAGUUCAUGGAAAUCAAAGAGGCAUUGAAGCAAAGAGAAGAAAUGCUUGCAGAAAUCCAGCAGCUGCAACAGAAACAGCAGAGCUAUGUCAGGGAAAUUUCUGAUCUCCAGGAGACAAUAGAGUGGAAAGACAAAAAAAUAGGGGCGUUAGAGAGGCAGAAAGAUUUCUUUGAUUGCAUAAGGAGUGAGCGGGAUGACCUUAGAGAUGAAGUGGUUGUGCUGAAGGAGCAACUGAAGAAACAUGGAAUAAUCCCAGACACUGACGUAGCCACUAACGGGGAAACAUCAGACAUUCUCAACAAUGAAGGACACUUGGAUUCUUCCAAACAUGUUCCAGGCGCAACUCAGGCGUUAAAGACAGGGGGGGAUGGGAUGCUAGGCAAAGCCAAUGAAGUGGACAUGAAAAAUGAGAUUUUGGAGGAUGUGGGGAAAAAAGAAAUCUUGCAGAAUACUGAGCGUGAGGAACACAAAGUGGAGUCUGAGGAGGAGGAAGUACAGACAUUGCAUGCCGAUGAAAAUGCAAGGGCAGAAAAAGUGGUUGAAGAACGCGAUGCCCUGUCAACAGCGAUGGUACCAGGUAGCAGGUUUGCAGAGCAAAUUGAAAGCCUUACGGAACACGUGUCAGGGAGCGGUUCUUCAAAUGACGAUAGUGAUGCAGGUGAUUUGAGAAAGGAGACAGAGUCUGCAGGCUUAGCAGUUCAGCAGCCUGCUAGCACGGAGGCUGAACACCGGGAUUUAAAUGCAAAGACAAAUCAGAACUCGGAGGAGGGCUCUCUGCAAGGUCAUCAGAUGUUUGAGACUCCUCAGGAAAUGCCCAGUGUCUUAAGUACAGAACGUGAACUGGAAAAAGCUGCCCCCGAACAGGAAGAACGAGAGGAUCUUAAGGCCAACCAUGGCCUGAGUGAUACUGAAAUGGAUCAGGAAGUUACAAGUGAGAGCUGUGAGUUGGUUGCUAACCAGGCAGGGCUACCAGAGGGUGCAGCAGCAGCCUCGCUUAGCGGUGGGGUAAAUGUGGAGAGUCACGCUGAGGGGCUCCAGGGCUCAGAGGGAAGUGCUGAAAACGAGGUUACAAAUGUCUUGGAGGAAAAGCAUGUUGAAAGCAAAGACUGCACUGAUGGAGGAACCGGCAAAACAGGAGGUGAUGGAGCUGAAGAAGAAAAGGUUGGGGAUGUAGCUCAGGCUCAGACGAGGGAAAUCGAACCUGUGGGUUUGGAGGGAACGGAGUCAUGCGACAGUGGUGUUCCAGCAGAUGCAAGUGAAAAGGAAGAAAGUGGAGACCAGGCACACAUCCAAGCAGUUUCUUCAGAGGACAGUCCUUUAGCAUCGUCAGAGGAACAAAAUAAGCAAGAUAAAACUGAAUUUGAAAAUGCUACGGCUGAGAAGGACAGGCAGGAGGAAGUGCUAACGGAGGUGUCUCCAGAUUCUGCAGAAACAGGCGAGCAAGAUAAGGCAUUUGUGGAGGCUGGAGGCUGUAUAAGUGAGGAAAAAAGAGAUGAGGUUCAGCAGGCAGAGCCAGGCACAGGCAUUGUGAAAGAGGUGACGAUUCAGCAACCCAGUUUAGACCCAAGUCUUUUGGAUGACAAAAUUCAGGAAUCGGAAUUGGAAGCUGGGUAUGAGUCGGGGAAAGGAAAGGAAAACAGGACAGAGUGUGUAGAAGAUCUAAAGACAAAGGUAGAGAUUCAAACGGUUCAGUUUAGUGAAGAAACAGCAGCUGAUAAAGUGGAAGAGAAAAAUAUUACCUUAGAAGGUGAAACACAGAAUGUGGUUGAACAAGAGGCAGGUGAAUCUAAAGAGGAAUCAGGUGUAGGCGUUAGGGUAACUGCUGAAAAUGAAGUUGAUAAAGAAACACUGAAAGAAAAUGAGAAAGAGUUAGAGCUUGUGGACCACCACAGUGGUGAAUUUGCUUCUGAGGAAAGUGGAUUUGCUUCCAAGGAAGGUGCAAGUAAUUCCCUUGCACAGGAAGCUAAGCAAGAUGAAAAUGUUAGUGAACAAGUUAAGUUAGAGAGUGAAGAAGAGGGAAGACUGGAAGAUGAUGGUGAUGUGUUUGAUUUUGAUGAGGAGUCAAACCAGAUACUAGAAACUGCUGAAAAAUGUGAUGGAGAGAAAGCCGAUACACAGAAAGGAGAGGGUGUUGGAGCAAAUGAUGCUCUUGGAAAAGUUCCCCAAAUAGAUGAAGCCAGAGAGAAAACAGAAACCGAAGCCACCUUGAUUGAAGGUGACAGCUUGCAACAGGAAAAAGGAGAUGAGCUUGCAGAAACAGAGCAUUUGCAAGGGGAAGCGUCAUGGAAAACUGAUGACAAGAGUGAUGUGAUGGAAGAUUCCAAUAAAGUGGAAAAAAUACCAGAUGGAAAUGUUUCGGAACAGGAUUUUGAAAGCGCGGGCAAUACCAGGGAUGAAAGCAAGGAGGAUUUGCAGGGUGGUAGAAAGGGUAAGGGGAGAUCCAGAGAUGACUGUACAGUAUCCUAAGGUCAUAAUCUCCAGGCUACGCGAGCUACCUGCCAUUUGCUCAGUCCCAGUACAGACACAUGCACUUUGCACAACACAUUGGACCUUAGGAAUGCUCUGAAGGCUUUUUCUUUAUAGGUAACUCAUCAGACUUCAAUGUUACGUAAGUGGGAAUGAUGCAAGUAUUGAGUUAUUCACUGGCGUACCUCGCCACAAGAAAUACGUGUGGGUUUGGAUUUGCUGUGUCUCAGGUUUAAAGCUUAUCACCAAAAGAGCAAGCUUCACAAAUCAGCUAGUCAGACCACCUUGCAAUUAAAGUACUUUUAGUGUGGAGAGCUGCUCCGGAGGAGAUUCUAUAGGAAAUCCCUUUUUUUCCUAGCCUAGCUGAUAGAUGUCUUGAGUGUACUUAUGUUCAUGCUUAUGUGUACCUACGUGCCUUGGAUCUACAGUGAGUACAUCAGCGCUUCAUGAAGGAACUCGGUAGAUCAGCAACACUGAUCUGAUGUGGAAACUUCUUUCUGAACAGUUAAAGCAUAGGAUCCAAUUCUUUAUAGAAAAAAAAAAAAAGGAGACAUUCCCAUUCCACUUCAUGUGUAUUUCUGCUAUGGUCACAUUCCAAAAGGUAGUUAAAUAGAUCCCUUUGAACCUGCUUAGCCUAAACACUUUGGAAGAGAAAUAUAGGGUUUGAAGGAAGUGUGAGGGACAGGUCUUAGCCUGCUGAAAGGAAUUCACGUUUACUCCAUCCAGGCACUUUGCACCACGAGAGGCCUUUGACACCACGGCUCACAUAUCUUUUCCACUGAAAGUGUCCACACACAUUGCCGUGUGUGUGUAGGUUUGCCUUCAAGUACUGUCUAGCUAUGAAUAUAGAGAAUACCUAUUUUUCCAAGAAGAUUUUUGUUUAAAAUUGUAUUUCUUUACUACAUUAUAUUUUUUUUUGCAAACUGUGAUCCUGAAGGAAUGUUUUUAUCUCUGAAAAAUUCUUUCCUCUUCCUUUCUGGAUAGAAGAUGACUUUGCAUGUCUUAAUUCUUGUUGGAUAUCAGACCAAAGACGAUUGUUUUUCUCUAUACCAGCCCCCAUGCCUUUUGAAAAGGUGGAUUGCUUGAAAUUGCUGGCAUGAAUUGGACACUUUGCAUUGGUGUUAUUUCUUCUUGCAUCUUUGAUAGCGCUUGGGAGGAAGAGCAUGUUUUGCAUACUUUAAAAAAAUCAUUUAAAGCUAUUUGAAGCAGUGAACAUCCCAAGGGAAUGCAAGUUGAGGAGCUGGGGGAAGGGGUCUGGAAGCCCAUAUUUGUGCUGAUGUUACAAAGCUGAUGGAGUCCAAACAGACUGCAAACUGUCAAGGUGUAUAUCGAAAUGUACUGAGCUGUAUAUAAUUGAAAUAAACAUAUUUUAUACUUUAAACUGCCUGUCCAGAGCACUGUUUAUAAACCUGCAUAAAUAUUUAUUAAAAUCUAUAUAAUUUCAAAGCCAUUUUUCUGCAGCUUUCUUUGUUAAAUUGAUUGCAUUACUCUGCGUAGCGGAAAAAUCCGUCUUAUUAGGAAUGGGCAGCGCUGGUGUUUGAGGACCUUUAAUAGAUGAUGGCGCCCGUGACUGCAAACCUCUAAUGGGACUGUAAACCUGUGACUCUUUUCAUAUGGCUUCUCUCCAUCUCACAGCAGUUCCAGUGUGGUUUCUGUAAGUAUUAGCAGUUGUUCUUCUUCAGGGGUUGCACUAAGUGCAAAUUUAAGGAGUCAUUGACCUUAAAAGCAUCUCUUCUUAGUAGGUAGGAGUGUUUAUUUAAAGAUUUGUCUCUGCAACAUAAUAGUUUCAUGCUGAAAUAUUUAUGUUUAAAGAUUAAAGACACUUAAAUAUGUAAUUCAGCGUGCUUACCAGGCAUCACCUGUACUUGUGGAUGGAUCUGUAAACAGCUCUGAGUUACAUUAGGUGCUUUCCAGCAUUUCUUGUCCUUUUCCUAUGUGCUCGUUUCUAAUAGAAAUGCUUCUGUGUGGUUGAGGGAACUAAGAGCGAGGUGGUUUUCCGCUUCAGACAGCAAAGCAUCUGUCAGAAAAGUCCUUUUUAAUGCCAAAUCACAGAAGGAGGAACGAACACCUCUAUUCUUAACUGUCCCUGUAUGAGCUCUCAUCCCACAGUAACCAGCCAGCUCUCAGUCACUGGGGCAGGAGCAGGAACACGGACAGGUAGUGCAAAGUAGCUGAUGGACUACAAACACGUCCUUAAGCGUUAGCUGUUGGCAGGUGGUCCCUGACUUCUGGAAUUCUGCAAGUACAGUGAAGGAGAAGGUCGUGGUGUUCUUUACCUCCUUGGUUUUCACUUGAGUACAUGCAUAUCGAGGGAGAAGGUGAGGUCUCCCAGGAAAAUUGUCUUGGAAAUAAAGGGAACUACUAGAUUUUAUAGUCAAAAUUUAAUAAAAUAGGCCACCUAGAACUGAGUGAGAUGUGUGCCAUUAGAGAGGAGGGGGAGGCAGUGCCUCAGGGGGCAUUACCUAGAAAAUGCAUCUUCUGUGAAGUUACUCAAUUGAAAACAACAGCUUUUGGUAUUUUCGUUGCGAUAUCUAACAGGUACAAGAAAAGAUCUAGCUUGUCCCUUUCUUCGUUGGUUUUGGCUUUCAAAGACAGCAAAAAAUCAGACCUUUUGAAACCAAGAAAUCAUGAGAUGAACUAAAAUCAAGAUUCUUGUUUGCUACUGUUACGUCACGCUUUGGUUUGAGCAGGGACAGUCUACACCACUCAUAGAGUAGCUCCAUGGCUCCAGAUGCUCUGGGUUUUCUGCUCAGUCCCUGGUGGCACAUGGAGCUUGUCACCCAGGUUUGUGCAUUGCUGUGAAUUCAGAGCGAGCCUCCAAUGUUUUCAAAAGCCAUAGCUGAAGAAACUUUUUUUUCUUUCAUUUCUUAUCCAGUAAGUCAUAGUGAAAGGCCUUGGUCAAUACUUUCUUUAUUACAGAAAAGAACAAUUCUCCUGUCCUUCUCAAUAUCAGUAUUGCAAGCUGUUGUCUUCUAAAUCCCAUUCAUUGUCCCAACAGCCUGUCCCCAGCAGAAUCCCUCUUCUGGGAGAGAGUGGAAGGCAUUCCUCGAUAUUCUGCUGUGUUUAUGUGUGUGUUUGUUUUCUCAUGAUUCAAGACAAACUGACAGAUCUGGAGAAGGAAUAUCACCCAAGCUGCUCUUGAUCCGACCGUCGGGUUCUUGCAGACUGCUGUGGGGCUGCUGGUUCGAGUUCAUGGGAUGCCUUCCCCCCUUCCAAGUACAGUUUACCCCUCUCAUUUGCAUCCGCAUUAAUUAUUUGCCGGGACGUACAUUAUACAAAUCAUUCAGCUGCUCCUCACCCCCUUCUCCGCUCCGAGGAGGAAGAGGCGUUGGGGAUUUGUGGCUCAUGAGGGGAUGUUAGGUCAACUGUGCCACUGGAGCAGCAUCCUAGUUAGCAACACCGCGAGUCAACUGCGGUAUUGAGGUAAUGAGCACGAUGUCGAAGUAAAUAGAACAGACUUUUAAACAAGCCUGUAUGAUAGCAGAAGACUCUGGUCACCACCACCCCCCAUUCCCAGGCCUUCCCAGGGCCCAGCUCCUCACAUCAGCCCUCUCUUUAGCCUCGGUGCGUAUGAAAGCCAUGAGCUGGUGCAGGGAGUAACCUGGGAAUCGCGUUACCAAAGGUAAAUUGAAGUGAGGUGAACGUCACAUUCUAAUUAUCCAUUAUUCCUAUGGGAAAUAAGGCUAAUGACCGUUACAGAUGAGAAUUGUAAUUAGCUGCUCCUUGUCCUAAUUCAGUAGAUUGUUCUCUUCUGCUCACCUGUUCUGAAGGUCCUUGCUUUGUUGGACAAAUGUCUCUUAAAUGCAAAAAUAAGAUGGCUCUGGAGAGAUGUAUGUUAAAGCUAAAGUCAAUUUUCCAUGUCAGUGUGGGCCUUUAUCAGAAGUUAACCCUAGGAGUCCUUCAUCUCUACAGAGAAAACUUUCCUACGUAAAUGGCAGUUUUAGCAAACUAAUUUUUCCUGUUGUCUUAUAAAUCCCGCUGCCAGUGUGUCAUCCAUCCCUGCAGGGUGCACGGAUGUCCCUCAUGAAGGGAGGGAGGGCUGAUGGCGAGAUCAGAUUUGAGGGCUCAUCCGAAAAUACUAACAGCCGUUUUGCAGCAAAAGGGAUUGGGGGAAGCUGAUGUGCUUCCUUCCUGGAACCUGGAGGAGGUGUCCUCUUGUCAGGCAGGUGUGUUUCACCCCUCAGCAGUGGUUAUGCUCAUGGCAGUUACAUCAGUGUGCACAUGACUGUUAUUUUCAGAGUCAAAGUGGAUUAUUUGGCCCCUUUGGAGUCAGUGAGUUUGGGCUAAUUUUAUAGGGGCCUGAAGGUCUCCUUCUGCAUCAGUCCUUGUUCUCUUUCCAAUCUUUAGCGCUUUAUUUCUUGGUCUCUUCUGACCCGUGACUCCCAACCCUAUCUCCAAGCCUGAAUAUCUCUGACCUUUCUUUUACUGUUUGCUCUCCUUGCAUUCUUCAUUGACUUUUAUUUUUGUCCUUGUAUUUCACCCCACAUCCCACUUUCAUCUUUUAAAGAAUUUCUCUCUUGAGCUUCCUUUACUUCCCAUAUGGAUAAGUGAAACCAUUCUAGUAUUUUGAAGGAGUUUAUGCUUGUAAAUUUUUGUUACUCUUGAUGUUUUACAACAAUGUGGUUGGUUUGUUCUUUUUGUUUAUGUUGUUUUUCCAUAUCAAUGCUCAGAUGUUACAAUGUUGGGUGUGUUACAAAUGACUAAAAAACAGGGAUAGGACUGGAGGAGGUUCAAAAGGAAUACACAGAACUGCUGACCUGGGAUGUCACUUCCAGAUCUGUGUUUGGGUAUCGCAUCCGAAGCCAAGGUAAAGGUUUCAUUCCGUGCUCUAGAGUGACUGCUAGUGCAUGGGAACUUGUAUACCCAGGAGGGGAAUGAUUUACCACGUUAUUAGUAGCUAACGGACUGUGCAUACUUGACACAGAGGGGCUCUUCUGUCUGAAAACUUCAGCUUUCCCCAUGGUUUGAUUCAAUGCAGACCCUUUGUUCCCUUUGCUUUGCGUGUUAACAAGAGAAGUGGUGACCCACAAGACUUUGGCCCAUUCAGGAUUUAACAACAAAUGAGGAUUUCAAAGCAUUCCAAAAAUACUGGUGUCUGUCAGCAGAAUUUACCGGGGAAAAGCCCACCAGCCUCUCACCUGUAAUUUCUCAAUCGCUUUCCUUAUGUUUAGAGAAAUUCCUUUUCUUUGAGUGACCUUUGGAUUUGAACCAUUUAAUUAACAGGCCAGACCUUAGACGUGGAGUUGAGCUCUGAACACCCACUGGCUUGGUUCGGCAUGGGUGGCGAGCUAAAAAGCCCUACCGCAAGCACACACUCAAACUUGUGUGGAGUAAGGCCUGCCUGGGGUCAAUAUUUCCUCUUCUGAUAAGAAUAUUUGAAUGCUAUGUUCUCUUGAGGUGUACUUCGACAAACUAAGGUUGUUAAUUCGUAAGGUAAAGUAAUAUGAAUGAUAAGAAAAUGCAUGAGUUAAGAUUUGUUGCUAAAAAAAGCUUUCACAUUUUACACCCCUUAACAGGGAAGAAGAAAACCAAAUGAUUUGCUUACUUACUUCGAGGUGUUUCUUCCAGCGGUCUCAUUCUGUAGCGUGUAUUUCAUCACUCAGUGCCAAACCUAUCCACGUGCCAAUGUGUAGCACAGCAAUUGGGGUGCCGAUCGCCCAUCACUUGCUUGAUGUUUGACCAGGAGAACUAUGAAGGACUAAAGGGAAAAGAACAUUUUGCCAGACUGCUACAUUUAAAACAAAAAUAAUCUAAUGGGCAAAUGUUUUUCUGGUUGUAAUAACGGGGGGUAACACAAAAUGUUAUUGUCAUGCUGUUCAGUAAAAGUGAAGAUUUAGAGCGCUGAGUUGUGCUUAGCUAUGAUUAUAGGUGUUGAUAGAGUAUUUGUGUUAUGUUAAACUGUAGAGAUUUUGUGUUGCAGUUGUGUUUGACCCUAGAGUUCUUGCAUGCUAACCUAACGUAGAAGAUUAGCCUCUUUGCAUGCAGCUGGGUGCUGCUACUGCCGUGACAAGCAUGCUCUGUGAGAAUGACAUAACUCCCCUGGCUGCAGCCCCUUCCCAGCCCUGUCUGUGGCCUCAUUGCCUGUGACAGGCUGAAAAAACUCAUUGAUGAACGAGAAACCUUACUAGACCAGAUUAAAAAAUUAAAGGGACAACUGGAAGAAAAGCAAAAGAAUGGCAAGAUGGAACAUAAGCAGUCCGAAGAUGAAGUUCUAGAAAAUGGG